GUGCUGAACUUUGAAAACUAAUAUUGCUUUAUGUGUUGCUAUUCAUUAAUUCUGUCCUCCAUUCAGCUGCUGCUAUGGUCUGGCUGUUGGUUUUGGACAUACAAGGUGAAAAAGUCGCCUUAUUCUUGGGAAGAUGCUUCUUAUCACACACAAAGCUCCCUUGGUCUUCCUGAUGACAGAUGGAGAAGUAUAGAUGAAGCAACAAAGGAAGAUCUUGUGCUAAGCUUAUGGGAGAAGUCAAAUAUGAAGAGCUACAUGACAGAGAUGCGGAAAGAAUCAAAGCGCAGAAGAUAGCUGCUACAGUUGCUUCACCUGCUGUUUUCAAAGGGCAAAAUUUUGUUUUACUUUUGAAAUUGAUCUGAAUUACAACGUGAUAGUUAAAAUUAUACUUCAAAAUUAUUUAUUAUGGGUAGCUUUAUUAAUAUUUUUGGGAGGGAGGAGAGUAAAAUCGUUCUGGUCAAAUACAAAAUCUUAUAUUUAUAAACAAGAUGUACUAAGUUAGCACAUGAAGUUUAAAUAGGCUGGCACUUUGACUGUCUGUAAACGAAAACCAAAGGAAACUGGUUUAGGUAUUGCUACAUUCUUUUAAUAUAGGUACUUAACCUCAGUCUUGCAGCAGUUGAAUGUUUGGCAGUGGUUUUGUGCACCUGUUGUUCAAUAAGUAUGAGAAGUUUUAGCAGAAUGCGGCAUGUUCUAGCAGAGUUAUGAACUGUGUGAAGUACUUUUGCUUUUCAUUAUUGUUUAGUUUGGUGCAUAACAAAUUUCAAUUUGGAAUAA
This is a long non-coding RNA of Vicia villosa (hairy vetch), 777 nucleotides long. RefSeq lists it as uncharacterized. The record is from RefSeq and is a predicted model, not a curated record. The transcript is spliced from 2 exons. Lineage: Eukaryota; Viridiplantae; Streptophyta; Magnoliopsida; Fabales; Fabaceae.